Molecule: ribosomal RNA, 253 nt
Filed under: uncultured bacterium
Lineage: Bacteria
Description: partial 16S ribosomal RNA
Rfam family: Bacterial small subunit ribosomal RNA
Source: RNAcentral
UACGUAGGGUGCAAGCGUUGUCCGGAAUUAUUGGGCGUAAAGAGCUCGUAGGCGGUCUGUCGCGUCGGCUGUGAAAACCCGGGGCUCAACCCCGGGCCUGCAGUCGAUACGGGCAGACUAGAGUGUGGUAGGGGAGACUGGAAUUCCUGGUGUAGCGGUGAAAUGCGCAGAUAUCAGGAGGAACACCGGUGGCGAAGGCGGGUCUCUGGGCAGUAACUGACGCUGAGGAGCGAAAGCAUGGGGAGCGAACAGG